Molecule: ribosomal RNA, 467 nt
Filed under: uncultured bacterium
Lineage: Bacteria
Description: partial 16S ribosomal RNA
Rfam family: Bacterial small subunit ribosomal RNA
Source: RNAcentral
GACGAACGCUGGCGGCGUGCUUAACACAUGCAAGUCGAACGGAAAGGCCCUGCUUUUGUGGGGUGCUCGAGUGGCGAACGGGUGAGUAACACGUGAGUAACCUGCCCUUGACUUUGGGAUAACUUCAGGAAACUGGGGCUAAUACCGGAUAGGAGCUCCUGCUGCAUGGUGGGGGUUGGAAAGUUUCGGCGGUUGGGGAUGGACUCGCGGCUUAUCAGCUUGUUGGUGGGGUAGUGGCUUACCAAGGCUUUGACGGGUAGCCGGCCUGAGAGGGUGACCGGCCACAUUGGGACUGGGAUACGGCCCAGACUCCUACGGGAGGCAGCAGUGGGGAAUAUUGCACAAUGGGCGGAAGCCGGAUGCAGCAACGCCGCGUGCGGGAUGACGGCCUUCGGGUUGUAAACCGCUUUCGCCUGUGACGAAGCGUGAGUGACGGUAAUGGGUAAAGAAACACCGGCGAACUACGU